Molecule: long non-coding RNA, 488 nt
Organism: Ruditapes philippinarum (Manila clam)
Lineage: Eukaryota; Metazoa; Mollusca; Bivalvia; Venerida; Veneridae
Exons: 3
Source: RefSeq, a predicted model, not a curated record
AUCAAAAUUGUCCACAAGAAUGCAAAAUUUAGUAUUUUUUCUUAAAAUCUUUGUUUAAGAUGAUGUUUACAAAUAUGAGUCAAUAAAACGGACCUACUGAAAGAUCUGUUUAUUGAAAUAGUUUAAGGGCAUAAACAAAUAUACCAAAAUGUUAGGGUGAUAAUCCCUCGCGACACACUAUCUUUAAUCUAAUAUCAUGUGAUUGACAUAAUAAAAAAAUAUGCUUGCUUAUCAAUAAGGGUAUUUCUAAAAUUUGUUGAAAGUUAAACAACCUUAGUUAUAGAAAAUUUUCUUUAUUGCAAACAAUAUGUGGCGAUUAUUUCUGUACUUCGCUUAUUUUGGGUACUUGUACAUUUUGAUUGUGAAUGGGGAUAAAACACAAACUCACGAUCUCGAAGAACCGGAUAAUGGUGAUGCUGGUGUAGAUGUCGGCGUUGAUGUCGGGGUUGAUCAAGUUGUGAGAAGAGUAAAACGUGGUGGUAAAUUUU